AUUGCCUCAGUAACGGCGAGUGAAGCGGCAACAGCUCAAAUUUGAAAUCUGGCCCCCUUGCGGUGUCCGAGUUGUAAUUUGUAGAGGAUGCUUCGGCGUUGGCCCCGGUCUAAGUUCCUUGGAACAGGACGUCACAGAGGGUGAGAAUCCCGUACGUGGCCGGUGUCCCUCGCCAUGUGAAGCUCCUUCGACGAGUCGAGUUGUUUGGGAAUGCAGCUCUAAAUGGGAGGUAAAUUUCUUCUAAAGCUAAAUACCGGCCAGAGACCGAUAGCGCACAAGUAGAGUGAUCGAAAGAUGAAAAGCACUUUGGAAAGAGAGUCAAAAAGUACGUGAAAUUGUUGAAAGGGAAGCGCUUGCAACCAGACCUGCCCGCAGUCGCUCAUCCAGGCUCCUGUCUGGUGCACUCUUCUGCGGUCAGGCCAGCAUCGGUUUGGGCGGUCGGACAAAGGCGGCGGGAAUGUGGCUCCCCUCGGGGAGUGUUAUAGCCCGCCGUGCAAUGCGGCCAGUCCGGACCGAGGUCCGCGCUUCGGCUAGGAUGCUGGCGUAAUGGUUGUAAGCGGCCCGUCUUGAAACACGGACCAAGGAGUCUAACAUCUGUGCGAGUGUUUGGGUGUCAAGCCCGGACGCGCAAUGAAAGUGAACGGAGGCGGGAACCUUUGGGUGCACCGUCGACCGAUCCUGAUGUCUUCGGAUGGAUUUGAGUAAGAGCAUAGCUGUUGGGACCCGAAAGAUGGUGAACUAUGCCUGAAUAGGGUGAAGCCAGAGGAAACUCUGGUGGAGGCUCGCAGCGGUUCUGACGUGCAAAUCGAUCGUCAAAUUUGGGCAUAGGGGCGAAAGACUAAUCGAACUAUCUAGUAGCUGGUUCCUGCCGAAGUUCCCC
This 880-nucleotide ribosomal RNA is filed under the name Hysterium angustatum. RNAcentral describes it as "eukaryotic LSU rRNA". It matches the Rfam family "Eukaryotic large subunit ribosomal RNA", at positions 74 to 972 of the family's 3401-position model. Lineage: Eukaryota; Fungi; Ascomycota; Dothideomycetes; Hysteriales; Hysteriaceae. The record is from RNAcentral.